CCCUUAGAUGCUCUGGGCCGCACGCGCGCUACACUGGUCGAUGCAACGAGUUUCUUUCCUUGGCCGACAGGCCUGGGCAAUCUUUGAACAUCGAUCGUGAUCGGGAUAGAUUCUUGUAAUUUUUGAUCUUAAACGAGGAAUUCCUAGUAAACGCAAGUCAUCAGCUUGCAUUGAUUACGUCCCUGCCCUUUGUACACACCGCCCGUCGCACCUACCGAUUGAAUGGUCCGGUGAAAUCUCCGGACUGGCGUGAGACGGAGCAAUCUGACAAACACCGGAAAGUUGAUUAAACCUUACCAUUUAGAGGAAGGUGAAGUCGUAACA
RNAcentral lists this ribosomal RNA (324 nucleotides) under uncultured eukaryote. RNAcentral's name for it is "partial 18S ribosomal RNA". It matches the Rfam family "Eukaryotic small subunit ribosomal RNA", at positions 1470 to 1796 of the family's 1831-position model. The record is from RNAcentral.